RNAcentral lists this ribosomal RNA (429 nucleotides) under bacterium. RNAcentral's name for it is "partial 16S ribosomal RNA". It matches the Rfam family "Bacterial small subunit ribosomal RNA", at positions 355 to 776 of the family's 1533-position model. The record is from RNAcentral.
UAGGGAAUCUUCCACAAUGGACGCAAGUCUGAUGGAGCAACGCCGCGUGAGUGAAGAAGGUUUUCGGAUCGUAAAGCUCUGUUGUUGGUGAAGAAGGAUAGAGGUAGUAACUGGCCUUUAUUUGACGGUAAUCAACCAGAAAGUCACGGCUAACUACGUGCCAGCAGCCGCGGUAAUACGUAGGUGGCAAGCGUUGUCCGGAUUUAUUGGGCGUAAAGCGAGCGCAGGCGGAAGAAUAAGUCUGAUGUGAAAGCCCUAGGCUUAACCGAGGAACUGCAUCGGAAACUGUUUUUCUUGAGUGCAGAAGAGGGGAGUGGAAUUCCAUGUGUAGCGGUGGAAUGCGUAGAUAUAUGGAAGAACACCAGUGGCGAAGGCGACUCUCUGGUCUGCAACUGACGCUGAGGCUCGAAAGCAUGGGUAGCGAACAGG